RNAcentral lists this non-coding RNA (77 nucleotides) under Gloeocapsa sp. PCC 73106. Lineage: Bacteria; Bacillati; Cyanobacteriota; Cyanophyceae; Chroococcidiopsidales; Chroococcidiopsidaceae. The record is from RNAcentral.
AGGAGCCGUGUGAGAUGAAAAUCUCAAGCACAGUUCUGAAGACGAGUCGAGGAGGUGACCGUUCGGCUUAGUUUAAC